Molecule: ribosomal RNA, 565 nt
Filed under: Pseudomonas sp. M1TS5
Lineage: Bacteria; Pseudomonadati; Pseudomonadota; Gammaproteobacteria; Pseudomonadales; Pseudomonadaceae
Description: bacterial SSU rRNA
Rfam family: Bacterial small subunit ribosomal RNA
Source: RNAcentral
GAGCUUGCUCUUUGAUUCAGCGGCGGACGGGUGAGUAAUGCCUAGGAAUCUGCCUGGUAGUGGGGGACAACGUUUCGAAAGGAACGCUAAUACCGCAUACGUCCUACGGGAGAAAGCAGGGGACUUUCGGCCCUUGCGCUAUCAGAUGAGCCUAGGUCGGAUUAGCUAGUUGGUGAGGUAAUGGCUCACCAAGGCGACGAUCCGUAACUGGUCUGAGAGGAUGAUCAGUCACACUGGAACUGAGACACGGUCCAGACUCCUACGGGAGGCAGCAGUGGGGAAUAUUGGACAAUGGGCGAAAGCCUGAUCCAGCCAUGCCGCGUGUGUGAAGAAGGUCUUCGGAUUGUAAAGCACUUUAAGUUGGGAGGAAGGGCAUGCACCUAAUACGUGUGUGUCUUGACGUUACCGACAGAAUAAGCACCGGCUAACUCUGUGCCAGCAGCCGCGGUAAUACAGAGGGUGCAAGCGUUAAUCGGAAUUACUGGGCGUAAAGCGCGCGUAGGUGGUUCGUUAAGUUGAAUGUGAAAUCCCCGGGCUCAACCUGGGAACUGCAUCCAAAACUGGG